Pipra filicauda (Wire-tailed manakin) is the source of this 377-nucleotide long non-coding RNA. RefSeq lists it as uncharacterized. The transcript has 2 exons. The record is from RefSeq and is a predicted model, not a curated record. Lineage: Eukaryota; Metazoa; Chordata; Aves; Passeriformes; Pipridae.
CUAGCCAGAAAUGCUCCUUGUGGCUGGGUUUUUGCUGGCUGGUUUCCCAUCUCCUCAUUCCCAUCAGUCAGGAGCUCUCGUGCCCUGAUUACAGAGGCAAAGCAGGAUUUUUCCCAUGUGUGUAAAGCAUACGUCACUUCUGAUGAGCCCAGGUGCUGUGUGCUUCUCAGUGCCAGUGUCUGCCUCCUCCUUCCAGUCCCUUAUUAUGAAGCAUGACACACUGCAUAAGGGAGAACCCGGAAAGCCAUGCCCUGCAGCACCAAGAGAUAUGAUCCCAGCUUUCCAAAUGAUGCUCAUCUUUCCCAUCGUUUUCCAACCCAACAUUAUUCAUUGUGUGAUAAGUAUCAUACAAUAAAGGUAUUCCCAAAUGAGUGUGA